GGUUUUAUAUUCAAUAGUGAUUUAGAAUUGCAAGUUCUAAGGUGUAAAUAUUUACUAAGGCCU
Molecule: transfer RNA, 63 nt
Filed under: Erianthus versicolor
Lineage: Eukaryota; Metazoa; Arthropoda; Insecta; Orthoptera; Chorotypidae
Description: tRNA-Cys
Source: RNAcentral